RNAcentral lists this small RNA (29 nucleotides) under Bombyx mori (domestic silkworm). Its description in RNAcentral is "ovarian small RNA-30811". Lineage: Eukaryota; Metazoa; Arthropoda; Insecta; Lepidoptera; Bombycidae. The record is from RNAcentral.
UGAACUCAGAACAUGACUAAAUAUUGUGA